GACGAACGCUGGCGGCGCGCUUAACACAUGCAAGUCGAACGGAAAGGCCUGCUUUCCCUUGUGGAUUGCGGGUACUCGAGUGGCGAACGGGUGAGUAACACGUGAGUGAUCUGCCCCCAACUUGGGUAUAAGCCUGGGAAACUGGGUCUAAUUCCCGAUAGGACUGCAGGGUGGUGCCUGUGGUGGAAAACGAUUUUCUAGUGGUUGGGGAUGAGCUCGCGGCCUAUCAGCUUGUUGGUGGGGUAAUGGCCUACCAAGGCGGCGACGGGUAGCCGGCCUGAGAGGGUGGACCGCGACAUUGAGACUGAGAUACGGCCCAGACUCCUACGGGAGGCAGCAGUGGGGAAGAUUGCACGAUGGGCGGAAGCCUGAUGCAGCGACGCCGCGUGGGGGAUGACGGCCUUCGGGUUGUAAACUCCUUUCGACCGCGAGGAAGCCACCUGGUUGGAAGGGUGGUGACGGUAGUGGUAGAAGAAGCACCGGCUAACUACGUG
This 494-nucleotide ribosomal RNA is filed under the name uncultured bacterium. Its description in RNAcentral is "partial 16S ribosomal RNA". It matches the Rfam family "Bacterial small subunit ribosomal RNA", at positions 28 to 507 of the family's 1533-position model. The record is from RNAcentral.